UAUACAUGCAGUCGAGCGACAGAUAAGGAGCUUGCUCCUUUGACGUUAGCGGCGGACGGGUGAGUAACACGUGGGUAACCUACCUAUAAGACUGGAAUAACUCCGGGAAACCGGGGCUAAUGCCGGAUAACAUUUAGAACCGCAUGGUUCUAAAGUGAAAGAUGGUUUUGCUAUCACUUAUAGAUGGACCCGCGCCGUAUUAGCUAGUUGGUAAGGUAACGGCUUACCAAGGCAACGAUACGUAGCCGACCUGAGAGGGUGAUCGGCCACACUGGAACUGAGACACGGUCCAGACUCCUACGGGAGGCAGCAGUAGGGAAUCUUCCGCAAUGGGCGAAAGCCUGACGGAGCAACGCCGCGUGAGUGAUGAAGGGUUUCGGCUCGUAAAACUCUGUUAUUAGGGAAGAACAAACGUGUAAGUAACUGUGCACGUCUUGACGGUACCUAAUCAGAAAGCCACGGCUAACUACGUGCCAGCAGCCGCGGUAAUACGUAGGUGGCAAGCGUUAUCCGGAAUUAUUGGGCGUAAAGCGCGCGUAGGCGGUUUCUUAAGUCUGAUGUGAAAGCCCACGGCUCAACCGUGGAGGGUCAUUGGAAACUGGGAGACUUGAGUGCAGAAGAGGAAAGUGGAAUUCCAUGUGUAGCGGUGAAAUGCGCAGAGAUAUGGAGGAACACCAGUGGCGAAGGCGACUUUCUGGUCUGUAACUGACGCUGAUGUGCGAAAGCGUGGGGAUCAAACAGGAUUAGAUACCCUGGUAGUCCACGCCGUAAACGAUGAGUGCUA
Molecule: ribosomal RNA, 784 nt
Filed under: Staphylococcus aureus
Lineage: Bacteria; Bacillati; Bacillota; Bacilli; Caryophanales; Staphylococcaceae
Description: bacterial SSU rRNA
Rfam family: Bacterial small subunit ribosomal RNA
Source: RNAcentral